RNAcentral lists this ribosomal RNA (115 nucleotides) under Cordylochernes scorpioides. Lineage: Eukaryota; Metazoa; Arthropoda; Arachnida; Pseudoscorpiones; Chernetidae. The record is from RNAcentral.
CGGCCCAUACCACGUUGAAAACACCGCUUCUCGUCCGAUCACCGAAGUUAAGCAACGUCGGGCCCGGUCAAUACUUGGAAGGGUGACCACCUAGGAACACCGGGUGCUGUGGGCU